Non-coding RNA from Arthroderma sp. PD_2, 92 nucleotides. The record is from the annotation of a GenBank genome assembly. Lineage: Eukaryota; Fungi; Ascomycota; Eurotiomycetes; Onygenales; Arthrodermataceae.
GCCUGGCUAGCUCAAUCGGUAGAGCGUGUGACUCUUAUAACUUAUACGAGUUUGCCAUCACAAGGCUGCGGGUUCGAGCCCCGCGUCGGGCU